GAUGAACGCUAGCUACAGGCUUAACACAUGCAAGUCGCGGGGCAGCAUGUUGGUUGCUUGCAACCGAUGAUGGCGACCGGCGCACGGGUGAGUAACGCGUAUCCAACCUACCUAUUACCACGGGAUAGCCCGGCGAAAGUCGGACUAAUACCGUAUGUUGUCCUCCAAUGGCAUCAGCAGUGGACUAAAGGUUUAGCGGUAAUCGAUGGGGAUGCGUCCGAUUAGCUAGUUGGUGAGGUAAUGGCUCCCCAAGGCUUCGAUCGGUAGGGGUUCUGAGAGGAAGGUCCCCCACACUGGAACUGAGACACGGUCCAGACUCCUACGGGAGGCAGCAGUGAGGAAUAUUGGUCAAUGGACGAGAGUCUGAACCAGCCAAGUAGCGUGCAGGAUGACUGCCCUAUGGGUUGUAAACUGCUUUUAUGCGGGGAUAAAGUGAGUUACGNGUAACUUAUNGCAGGUNCCGC
This 464-nucleotide ribosomal RNA is filed under the name uncultured bacterium. RNAcentral describes it as "bacterial SSU rRNA". It matches the Rfam family "Bacterial small subunit ribosomal RNA", at positions 28 to 481 of the family's 1533-position model. The record is from RNAcentral.